Molecule: small RNA, 605 nt
Filed under: Histoplasma capsulatum
Lineage: Eukaryota; Fungi; Ascomycota; Eurotiomycetes; Onygenales; Ajellomycetaceae
Also listed under: 1 other name
Description: hypothetical RNA
Source: RNAcentral
UGCUGCUGUGGGAGAAAUAGGUAAGGUGGUCCCUGGGAUUGGCCUGGUGGGGUGGGCCCGCGCGGUAGGGCGAUGAAGGGGUUUGUCGGGUUCCCGACGACUCUGCCGCCGUGGGUAUACGUGAAUGUUGUGGUGGGCACCGAAGCCCAUCUGGGUUCGAAAAUGGGUUGGUCGCGCUCAUCUCUGGCGAUUACAUAGCCUGCUGCAGGCGGUGGUUGCAUGAUGUCCGGGGGGAUGCCACCGUUUGGAGGGCCCCAGGUAGUCUCUUGGCCGGAUGGGAAGGUGCCCCAGGUCAUGGUUGUGGAAAGUAUGUGUAAGGUGAUUGGGUUUUUCAAAAAGGGGGUUUGAUGGGACAGGAUGGGGAGAUGAGCUUGUGGGUUGAUGAUGGAGGUCUGGUUCUAGUAUGUCCAGGGUAUGUAAGGGAAGACAAGGAAUCAAGUACCCACAGAAAAUUCCCUGGGUAUUUAUAUGCAUAAAACAUCCCAUAUCUGGCUGUAGCCAUCUCCACAGGAGUUAAAUAUUCACCCGCUUCUCUCUGAUGUCCUGCUUGUUAGCUGACAAGAGCGGACGCCGUAUCCAAGCAGCUGUAAAGAAGACCACGGUGA